CCGGUUGUGACAGAAAUUGUGGUAGACUUAAGCUCUAUUUAUGGGUAUAAAAUUACUCCAUCCGGU
This 66-nucleotide transfer RNA is filed under the name Lottia goshimai. Its description in RNAcentral is "tRNA-Leu". The record is from RNAcentral. Lineage: Eukaryota; Metazoa; Mollusca; Gastropoda; Lottiidae.